GUGAGUCAUCAGCGUUAGUUCUGGUGCGGUACGGCCCCGGCUCUUUGCCUGGUUCCGUCCUCCAGGAGCGCAGGAUGAGCAAGACCGCACCCGGGGGAUCAGGCUGUGGUCCAAUCGAGGGUAAAAUUCCACGUGCCCCGGUUUCAGACUGGCGCUGGGAAGUUAGGAGUAGAACAAGUUUCUGUGGGUCAGGAACUUGGGAGCUAAAUUCUGGUUCAGGGCCUCCCAUAAAGUUGCGUGAAGAUGUCACCUGGGGCUGUGAUCAUCUGAAGGCCUGACUGGUGCUGGAGAAUCCACUCCCUGGGGGACUCACUCACGUGACUGGCAACAGGAGCACUCACAUUGCAUUGUUGAGGGUAGACCGGCUGAGCGUGAGGGGAACCUACCACAGGGAACAGAGGAGGGAGAUGACGAGUAUUGUGUGCACCUUGAGACAAGCUGCAGCAGCAAGGACCAAGCAGAAGACGGAAGAGCAUUUCCUGACACUUAGUAAAUGAACGAAGUCUAACUGAGAGGAUUCAACAUGUCAGAGCUGCAAGAAGAAUGGCAGAGGCCACAUGGUAGCCGAGAGCAACAGAGACAGCACCGGGGGACCCUCAGAGACAGUGAGAGGUUUGGAAGGGGGCCUCGAGCUCCUACGGGUGGGAGCAGCGUUGAAGAAGUCCGUUUGCCUGGGAGUCUGGGGCUGGAUUCAGAAGAUGCAUCAUCACAGUGCCAGCUGAUGCCUUUGCUGUGGCUCCUUCCCCCAGAGGUGGUGUUUGAUAAUAGGGUUUUGUGGCAGGCCAUCCCCUCCAUCCGUUCUUGAUGGUCAGAAGGCAGGAGAGGCUGAGAGGUUGUCACCU
RNAcentral lists this long non-coding RNA (842 nucleotides) under Equus asinus (donkey). Its description in RNAcentral is "lncRNA (ENSEASG00005027418.1)". The record is from RNAcentral. Lineage: Eukaryota; Metazoa; Chordata; Mammalia; Perissodactyla; Equidae.